GAUGAACGCUGGCGGCGUGCCUAAUACAUGCAAGUCGAGCGAACAGACGAGGAGCUUGCUUUUCUGAUGUUAGCGGCGGACGGGUGAGUAACACGUGGAUAACCUACCUAUAAGACUGGGAUAACUUCGGGAAACCGGAGCUAAUACCGGAUAAUAUUUUGAACCGCAUGGUUCAAUAGUGAAAGACGGUUUUGCUGUCACUUAUAGAUGGAUCCGCGCUGCAUUAGCUAGUUGGUAAGGUAACGGCUUACCAAGGCAACGAUGCGUAGCCGACCUGAGAGGGUGAUCGGCCACACUGGAACUGAGACACGGUCCAGACUCCUACGGGAGGCAGCAGUAGGGAAUCUUCCGCAAUGGGCGAAAGCCUGACGGAGCAACGCCGCGUGAGUGAUGAAGGUCUUCGGAUCGUAAAACUCUGUUAUUAGGGAAGAACAAAUGUGUAAGUAACUGUGCACGUCUUGACGGUACCUAAUCAGAAAGCCACGGCUAACUACGUG
RNAcentral lists this ribosomal RNA (497 nucleotides) under uncultured bacterium. RNAcentral's name for it is "partial 16S ribosomal RNA". It matches the Rfam family "Bacterial small subunit ribosomal RNA", at positions 28 to 507 of the family's 1533-position model. The record is from RNAcentral.